Molecule: ribosomal RNA, 331 nt
Filed under: uncultured eukaryote
Lineage: Eukaryota
Description: partial 18S ribosomal RNA
Rfam family: Eukaryotic small subunit ribosomal RNA
Source: RNAcentral
CCCUUAGAUGUUCUGGGCCGCACACGCGCUACACUGGCAGGUUCAUCGAGCUUCAUGCCCUGAUCUGAGAAGAACGGGAAAUCUUUGAACACCUGCCGUGCUUGGGAUAGAUGUUUGCAAUUAUUCAUCUUCAACGAGGAUUGCCUUGUAAGCGCACGUCAUCAGCGUGCAUUGAAUACGACCCUGUAUUCUGUACACACCGCCCGUCGCUCCUACCGAUUGAAGUUUUCGGUGAAUUUACUGGAGAUCCCUUUUGAAGGUGGUUCGCCACUGGAAGAAGUAUUCAAAAGUAAAUGAAUCGAGUGCUUUAGAGGAAGGAGAAGUCGUAACA